UCAACUACAUAAAAGCUUAAAUGCAUACUAGUUUUCCUAGUCUCCGACACAACUAAAAUUAAAAUCAAAAUCAAUCUCAAGAACAAAAAUCCAAUGGCAGAAUUGACAUGAUUAAGCAAUUGACGAAUUGUACCUGAUUUUGGGAGUUUGUUGAAGUAGAGUAGCCCAAUUAUGCCUCAGGAACAAUAAAAUCAGAUCGUUUUACAGAUGAUCGUACAUGAGUAAUUGUGGAUGAUGAAUUAUGCAAAUUGUAUUGAUCGAGAAGUGGAGAUGAUGAAUUAAGAGAAUAACCUGCUGGUUUCCAGAUUAAAAUGCAACGUGAAUUGUUUGCAGAUCAAUUUGAACGCAGCCUUUGAAUGAAGAAGAAGAAGAUGAAGAAGGAGAAGAAGAAGGCAUGAAGAACAGAGUUUGCAGAUGUAUAUCUAGCGGUUUGCAGAUGAAAGAGUAAUUUAAUUGAGAAAGAAUCUCAUGCUUUAAGUUCUUAAUCCCAGGAAUAUCUGAGUCGGUUUGCAGAUGAAUAUUAUACCGCAUGAAUUUUGAGCAUAUUUGAGAGUAAUUUUCAUUUCUUAAAUA
Molecule: long non-coding RNA, 573 nt
Organism: Amaranthus tricolor (Joseph's coat)
Lineage: Eukaryota; Viridiplantae; Streptophyta; Magnoliopsida; Caryophyllales; Amaranthaceae
Exons: 2
Source: RefSeq, a predicted model, not a curated record